GUGGGUGUAGCUCAGUGGCAGAGUGCUUGCCUGGAUUGCAGGAGGUCAUGGGUUACAUUCCCAGUACCACA
Molecule: non-coding RNA, 71 nt
Organism: Fukomys damarensis (Damara mole-rat)
Lineage: Eukaryota; Metazoa; Chordata; Mammalia; Rodentia; Bathyergidae
Source: Rfam